This 307-nucleotide long non-coding RNA is filed under the name Physcomitrium patens. RNAcentral's name for it is "long non-coding RNA (PPAT_LNC006344)". The record is from RNAcentral. Lineage: Eukaryota; Viridiplantae; Streptophyta; Bryopsida; Funariales; Funariaceae.
CAGACCUUCAGAGACAAUAUUCAAUAUAUUUUUAUAUUAAUAGUAAACUGUAAUAAAAAAUCCCAUUUAAACUCAUAAAGCACCUCAAUUUUAAUAUUAUUAUGAUUAUUUAAAUCAUAUAAUGAAAAAGUUGUAGCUUAUUUGAAAAAGUUUAAGUUGCAUACUUGAAAUUUUUUAAUACAAAUCAAAACAUUAAACAAAAAAUAUUAAUAAGAGUAAUAUAUUUUUAGAUUUAUUAAAAAUAAAUGAAGGUGGAAAUUAUAUGAUAAGUAACUGUUGAUUAUGCCCUUCUUUAGAAAACGUAUUU